UUUUUUUUUUUUUUUUUUUUUUUUUUUUUUUUUUUUUUUUUUUCUUC
This 47-nucleotide non-coding RNA is filed under the name Alexandrium minutum. The record is from RNAcentral. Lineage: Eukaryota; Dinophyceae; Gonyaulacales; Pyrocystaceae.